UAGAACAGCAUUUUUAUAUGUUAGUCACUUUACUUGUAGCUACAGGAGUGCACUAGAUAGACAACCUUAUCAAAAUAAGUUCAGUUGAAUUUUUACAUUUUAUAUUUUGUUUAUUUUUCCAGGGAGGAAAAUUUGUGUGAGGAGAAGAUACUGCCGCUAUUAUGGCUAUUAUAGAUACUACCGCUGCAGAAGAUGCUACUACUCUACAUACUGGAGAUACAUUUAAUGCGUCACGAGGCAGUGUGUGCAGAGCAUGAGGGGCUUCAGUCCUUAUCGUUACACAGAAUUUGGCGUCUUCAAACACAACGGCUUUUCCACUGCUCAAGUAUAAAAUGGAAUUAAAAUUUAAAUAUUUAUAAAUGUGCUUUUAAAAAUAUUUUAAAUAUGCUCUUCCUUAAUAAUUGAGCACGCAUGUUGCACAAUGUAAGUUUAGUCUUAACUUUUAGUGGGAUUAAAUGAUGCUUACUGAUACAGACUGUUCAAAACAGUUGAAAUGUUUUCCAUCUCCGCACAUAAUUUAAUGUUAAUUUCAGUGUAUAUAGGGUCCAUUUGUGUUUUGUGAAAUUGCUUCUGCUGAAUGAAAAGAAAAAAAAACUGUGGUUAAAUGUGAAAAAAUAAAUAACAUAUUAGCAUCUAA
Molecule: long non-coding RNA, 637 nt
Organism: Erpetoichthys calabaricus (reedfish)
Lineage: Eukaryota; Metazoa; Chordata; Cladistia; Polypteriformes; Polypteridae
Exons: 3
Source: RefSeq, a predicted model, not a curated record